UUUAAAAGUAUUAAUUUGAAUUCUAAAUAAAAUUCAAUUGAUAAAAAAUAAAAAAAUAAAAAAAUAAAAGACUAUUUGACGAGCUACGGUAAUUCUCUUGAAAUUAACAUUAAAAAUAAUAUUUCAAAAAUUCACUUUAAAGCACCAACCUUUUUACGAAACCUCCCCCUGUUUCUUUCAUUCUCUUUUUCUAACCCCACCGUCUCUUCUCACCAAUAUUUAAUUUAACCCACCUCUUCCAAACUAUCUCUAGCCCUAUUUAAUUUAACCCAAACUCUUCUUUGUGAAGCCACAAAACGCCCCAUGCAAUCUCAAAUCUAACCACCCGCUCUAAGAAGUCCUGGGUUGCCCUUGUUAGCACUUAGCACCAUCGAUGUUUAAUUUAACCCAAUCUUCUUUGGGUGGAGAACAAAAAAAUAUAUAUCUAGUUCCAAUUGUAACUGCCAGAUCUUUUUUCUAAGCAUCUCUGAUCUCAGUAACAUACUGGAUGACCUGUGUGUGAUGAUUUAGUGAGGGAUUUGAAGUCGAAGGCCCCUUCGUUUCUCCAUAUCAAGAAGAACCAGGUUCACCACUUCAAAAGGAUGCUCUGGGUUUACUAUUUCAGUUAUUGGAGAUUUUGAUAUUUUCUUUUGAUUUUUAUUUUCAUGAGAGCUUGACAAGUGCGUCCAAGAAGUUGCCUGGCCAACAUCUGUUGAUUUAUCACAAUAGCUUGUAUACUUCUAUGGCUAGCAGUUACAGAAGAGGGAAAAAAUAGGUCACUUAUUAUGCUUUGUCAAGGCCCUUUCUCCUCAAUCUCUGCAUAUGGGUGGUUGGGUGGGUUGCAAAUGGAUACCUUGUUGGAAAACAUUUUUAACGCGGUCUUUAUGACAUGUAAUGUAGAUUUUAAAUUAAAUUAUAAUUAAGGUUUAGAGUAUGUUGAACUCUAAAUAUUGGCCAAAGCACUGUUCAUGAUAGAUAUAGGUGUAAAAGUUAUAUUAUACAUAAAGAAUUUCUAAUCUAGUCAAAAUAGGAUAAUGAAAAAUCUGUUUUUUAUCCAUACAAAAUAACCCGAAGUUUUGGUAUAAAUUAGGAAACUUUUUAUUCUUGAGAUUUCUGUACAAUUGCUCAGGAUAGGAAAUAUAUAUCCUGUUCGUUUUUGGCUGCGUUUAUACGCUUUUCAUAUUGAAAUUAUCUUACAUGCCUCGCUCAUCAAUGCCAAAUGGUGAGACACUCUGUUCUUCAGAGGACCGCAACCUCUUUUUUUUUACCAAGCUUCUCUUGUUUUUUCCACUUUUCUUGCCUGAAUUCCUGAGUAGCCCUCGUUAAUUGACUUCUUUUAACAAUGCAACUAGAUAUUGACAACAACUAAA
Long non-coding RNA from Populus trichocarpa (black cottonwood), 1349 nucleotides. RefSeq lists it as uncharacterized. The record is from RefSeq and is a predicted model, not a curated record. The transcript is spliced from 2 exons. Lineage: Eukaryota; Viridiplantae; Streptophyta; Magnoliopsida; Malpighiales; Salicaceae.